UCUCCGUUGGUGAACCAGCGGAGGGAUCAUUACAGAGUUGCAAAACUUCCAAACCUUUGUGAACGUUACCUAUCCCGUUGCUUCGGCGGGCGGCCCGGGCCCCGCGCCCGGCGCCCCCCGGCCCCCCGUGGGCGCCCGCCGGAGGUAAACCAAACCCUUGAAUUGCAUGGCCUCUCUGAGUCUUCUGUACUGAAUAAGUCAAAACUUUCAACAACGGAUCUCUUGGUUCUG
RNAcentral lists this unclassified non-coding RNA (231 nucleotides) under plant metagenome. RNAcentral's name for it is "partial contains small subunit ribosomal RNA, internal transcribed spacer 1, and 5.8S ribosomal RNA". The record is from RNAcentral.